This 73-nucleotide transfer RNA is filed under the name Chloroflexi bacterium 13_1_40CM_4_68_4. Its description in RNAcentral is "tRNA-Gly". It matches the Rfam family "tRNA". From Rfam's summary of the family: Transfer RNA (tRNA) molecules are approximately 80 nucleotides in length. RNAcentral also lists the same sequence under 1 other name. Lineage: Bacteria; Bacillati; Chloroflexota. The record is from RNAcentral.
GCGGAAGUAGCUCAGUUGGUAGAGCACGAUCUUGCCAAGAUUGAGGUCGCGGGUUCGAGUCCCGUCUUCCGCU